AUCGUUUAGGUAGUAGUGAGUGACGACAAACACAGGUGUAUGAAAAACGUCAAACGCGAUGAGUCGUAAAUUUUAUGUUCUCGGCCAGAAGUUUAUUAUCAAAGUUUAAAGAAAUUCGACAGUUAAAUAAUUAUUUUCUAACUUGAAUUACAAUCUCAUAGGGAUUUGCCACAGUGAAUUGUACCCUCGGCAGCGUUAUCAUUACCACCUGAUUUGACACUUGCUUCCCCUCAGGUAUCGAUAUUAGCAAAAACCCGUAAGUGAACUAGUUAUUUCUAAUUGGAAGCUUAUUACCCAUUGAUUACUUUCCCUUUAGAUUUGAAUCGUCACACUCCGCAAUUGUUAGCUAUAACUCAGUCAGGUCACGGUAGAACACUAAAACUCUUAAAGCGACAAACCACCCACAACCCGUGUUUUGCUAAAAAGACUUGGUGUUUCUACGAACAAAAUCUUUAAGAGUUUUAUUGCCAAGAUGCUGGCAGGAAAUAUCUCCGGCUACAAUUGCCAUUCGUGUAAUGAACAUGACGUCAUGGAUUCGAUGGUGGCUUGUGAUGCUUGCAGCAAAUGGCAUCAUUUCAAGUGCGCUGGAGUGGAUCAUACUAUCAAGGAUCGACGCUGGGUGUGCAAAGAAUGUGAAACAGGUAAUGGUUGUGGUCAGCUUGCCCUUCCACCGACGAAAAACAGAACCGCCAAGGUAGGUGGUAGCAAAACGUCGAAGUCCCGCAGCAAAAAGGCAGAAAAGACCGUCGGCUCAAAGGUGAGCAUGACCUCCAGUGCUCGCGCUGCUGCCUUGGAAGCGCAGAUGCGCUUACUCGAGGAAGAAGAACAGCUAAACGAAGCGGAGCUGAAAGAGAGAGAAGAGCUUCAGCGUCAGGAGUUUGCUGAGGAGCAACGCAAGCUCGAGAUUAAGAAAAAGCUUAUGGAAGAAGAAACACAGCUUCGCGAAACGGAGCUGAUGAAGCAGAAGGCUUUGCAGGAAAGGAUGAUGCAGUUACGACGAGAAUCUAUGGAAAAGAAGAAGGAGUUAAUGCGACAGCAAGCGGAGCUUAGCGAGUCGUCGUCUUCAUCCCGUAUAUCAAAGUCUGAACGAAUUCAAAAUUGGAUUACUUCGCAGCAACAGACAGAGGGAGACAAUUUGGUAAAUAAUGCCUCACGGAACUUCACGUCGAAUGCUCAGCUCACGUAUCCGAUUCAACAGCAAGGAAGACCGGCGGUAGCACCCAGCCCUCCUACGUCUCAGCUGGCGAACCUUUCGUUACAUGAUGACCACCACGUCACUAGUCCCGUAUUACCAGCGGCUUAUAUGCAAAUUGCAGCACGCCAGGUUACGGGCAAGGAUCUUCCGGCCUUUAACGGGAACCCGGAGGACUGGCCAAUGUUUAUUCGGACCUACGAGGAAACGACGAUCGCCUGUGGAUUUACGGAUGUGGAGAAUUUAGUGCGGCUCCAAAAAUGUCUGCGAGGAAUUGCUUUGGAAUCUGUGCGCAGUCGACUUAUGAUGCCGGCCGGCGUCCCGCACGUAAUAAAAACUCUCCAAAUGCGCUUCGGUCGACCGGAGCUUAUAAUCCGUUCAUUACUGGAGCGAAUCCGUCGCGUACCAGCGCCUAAACCUGAACGACUGGACACUCUCAUUGAUUUCGGACUAGCUGUGGAGAAUCUAGUGGUUCAUUUGCAAGCCGCUAAGCAGGAAAAUCAUCUGACAAAUCCUGUUUUAUUGCAAGAACUGGUGACGAAGUUGCCGGCACAGCUCAGAUUGGAUUGGGCAAGAUACAAAGUCCUUCACCAAAAUCCAACCCUAGCAGCGUUCGGUGAAUUUAUGAACGAACUCAUUCACGCGGCCAGUGAAGUAUCUUUCGAUCUACCUAUCAACCUAACGUCGAGCACGGAGAAGCCAAGGGACCGAGAAAGAGCUUUCGUCCAUGCCCAUGAUGCUGUGGAUUCAGAAUUCCGGAACACCGGUGCUGUGAAGAAACCGCCUAAACCAUGCAUAUUGUGUGGUACCCUACGACACCGUAUUGCCGAUUGUGAGGAAUUCAAGCAAAAAUGUGUCGAUGAGCGGCUGAAGAUAGUGCGGCAACACAAUCUAUGCCGCACUUGUUUGAACUUUCAUCAAAAGUGGCCGUGUCGAACAUGGAGUGGCUGCAGUAUCGAAGGAUGUCGUGAACGGCAUCACUAUUUGUUGCAUCCUCCGAUGGUUACGAGUUCCACACACCACUCAUCCACUCACAAUUCAGUCUUCAGUGAGAGGUGUGACUAUUACUCAUAUUUCCGUAUAAUCCCGGUAAUCGUAUCCACAGCCACCAAGCGCCAAACGAUAUUCGCAUUUAUCGACGAGGGCUCAUCUUCCACCCUCUUGGACCAGUCGGUGGCGAAGCAGUUGGGAUUGGAUGGACCAGUUGAGCCCUUAACGCUACAGUGGACCGGCAACGUCGCGCGUCGAGAGUCAAACUCCAGAAAGGUGCAUUUCCACAUCGCAGGAUCUGAGAAAGCUAGUACGUUUCAGAUACAAGAUGCCCACACCGUCGAAAGACUUCUACUUCCGAAGCAAUCACUCCCGUAUAGGGCGCUAGCUAAACAGUAUCCACAUUUACGCGGGCUACCCGUGGCUGACUAUGAGCAAGCAGAACCAAAAAUUCUUAUCGGACUUGACAAUUUGAGAUUGUGUGUUCCGCUUAAGAUACGUGAAGGACGCUCUGACGAGCCCAUCGCCGCAAAGUGCAGGUUGGGUUGGACUAUUUACGGAUACAGUGUCCGUGCUUCAUCACCUACGGUCUCGGUCAAUUUCCACGUACCAGCUGCCCAAGACGCGGACCAUGAUCUAAACGAAAAACUUAACGACUUCUUCUCGCUGGACCGUAUGGGAACUGAGCCAUCCUUCAAUUUUCCGGAGUCGGAGGCAGACAAAAGAGCCAAAAGGAUAUUGGAAGAAACGACCCGCAGAUUGUCUGACCGAUUUGAAACUGGACUACUUUGGAAAGCCGACGGUAUCGAGUUUCCUGACAGUUUCCCGAUGGCGGUAAAAAGGCUUGAGUCACUGGAAAGGAAAUUAACCAGGGAUUCUUCUCUUCGAUUUCGAGUUCACCAAAAAAUGGACGAAUACGUGGCUAAAGGAUACUGUCAUCGUGCUACCUCCGAAGAGCUGAACUCCUUUGACGUUAAACGAGUGUGGUAUCUCCCAUUGUGCAUCGUCGUUAACCCGAAAAAGCCGGAAAAGGUGCGAAUUGUCUGGGAUGCGGCGGCUAAAGUCAAUAAUGUCUGCUUUAAUUCGGCUUUGCUUAAGGGACCAGACCUUCUAACUAACCUGGUCUUCGUCCUGUACCACUUUCGCGAACACCGAAUAGCCGUGACUGGGGACAUAGAAGAAAUGUUUUUGCGGCUCCUCAUCCGACCGCAGGACAGUCCAUCUCAACGAUUCUUAUGGCGGGAUGAUCCAGAAAAAGCUCCCUCCAUAUACAUAAUUGACGUUGCGACCUUUGGGUCAACUUGCUCUCCAUGUUCGGCCCAAUUUGUGAAGAACACCAAUGCAAGUGAUUAUAUGGAGUCGUUCCCCAGAGCCGCUACUGCGAUUAUUAAACAUCACUAUGUAGAUGAUUAUUUAGAUAGUUUUGAGACAGAAGAAGAAGCUAUCGAGGUAGUCAAACAAGUGAAGUUCAUCCAUUCGACAGGGGGUUUCAACUUGCGUAACUUUUUGUCCAACUCCCACGCCGUUUUGAAGGCUAUUGAUGAUGUCUCCGAAGAAGAUGCAAAGCAACUGUGUUUGUUAAGAGCCGAAAAGGUAGAAUCUGUAUUGGGCAUGAAAUGGAACCCGUCUAGAGAUGUUUUCAUCUACACUUUGUCCCCUCGGGAAGGUCUCGACAAGGUCAUAGAACCCUCGCAUAUUCCCACCAAACGAGAAAUGCUAAAACUCGUCAUGAGUCUUUUUGAUCCUCUUGGAUUUGUGACGUUCUAUCUCAUCCACGGAAGAACUUUGAUCCAAGACGUCUGGGCGACUGGCAUCGAUUGGGACGAACCGGUGAACAAGGAGCUGUGCCAAAGAUGGUGGCACUGGAUUAGCUUUUUACCCAUGCUGGGUGACCUGAAAAUUCCGCGAUGCUAUUUUCGAGGUCAUAUGGACGAACUUAAACAAUUACAUGUUUUUGUAGACGCCAGUGACACAGCAUACGCCUCUGUUGCAUAUCUCCGCGCCUACGGAACAUUAGGAAUGGAAGUGGGACUCGUGGGAGCGAAAAGCAAAGUUGCACCACUCAAGGUACUAUCUGUCCCUCGCUUAGAGCUGAUGGCGGCGGUAAUAGGUGCGCGUUUUGCGGAUGCAGUGCUCGCGGCUCAUUCCUUUAAUGUGACGGAAACCAUCUUUUGGACGGAUUCGGCUACGGUGCUUGCCUGGAUUAAUUCGGAUCACAGGAGGUAUCAUAAGUUCGUAGGAGUCAGAGUCGGAGAAAUACUUGCGUUGACGAAAAUGAACCAAUGGAGAUGGGUGCCUACCAAGCAUAAUCCAGCAGACGAGGCGACGAAGUGGGGUAGCGGUCCAACUUUUGAUCCUAGCGGACGUUGGUUUAGCGGGCCAUCGUUCCUUUACCAGCCUGAAGAACAGUGGCCACAAAAACAAAAGCCACUUGUCACCAGUACCGAGCUCCUCAGUUCUCACAACUCACACCAAAUUGCCCCCGAUCCACUGUUUGAAACUGAACGCUUCCACAAAUGGGAGCGAUUGCUAAGAGCACAGGCGUACGUAUGCAGAUUCAUCAACAAUGUUCUUUGUCGCAGGAACGGAAAACCAACGGAAACAGGAAUCCUCAGCCGAGACGAGCUGAUCCGAGCCGAACGAGAAUUGUGGAAGCAAGUUCAAGCUGAAGCAUACGCCCAGGAACGACGAAUACUGCUUGACACUCAGGGUACUCCUGACUCACGCCACAACUUAGUACCGAAAUCGAGUCCCAUUUACAAGUUGUGGCCAUACAUGGACUUAGACGGCGUAAUCAGGAUGCGAGGAAGAAUAGAUGCCUCAUGGUAUGCAACUCAUGAUGCCAAGAAUCCGAUCAUAUUACCGAAAUCUCAUCAAAUAACCUUGCUUCUGGUGGAUUCGUAUCACCGUCGGUAUCAUCAUGCCAACCAGGAAACGGUGGUAAAUGAACUGCGGCAGCGCUUCGAAAUAUCCAACUUGCGAACUAUCAUUAAACAGACAGCCCGAAGAUGUAUCAAAUGCCGCAUUGCACACGCAGUUCCUCGGACUCCACCAAUGGCUCCGCUCCCAGAACAACGUGUCACACCUUUUGUAAAGCCUUUUACAUUUGUCGGUCUGGAUUAUUUCGGACCCUUAACGGUAAAGGUCGGCCGCUCUGAAGUUAAACGAUGGGUGGCACUCUUUACGUGCCUUACCGUUCGUGCCGUACACCUUGAAGUAGUGCAUAGUUUAUCCAGCGAGUCAUGUAUUCUAGCCAUUCGUCGAUUUAUCGCCCGACGCGGAGCACCAUCUGAGUUCUUUAGCGAUAAUGGGACUAAUUUUGUAGGGGCGAACUCACAGUUGCAACAGGAAAUUGUGGCUAGGAACACUGAAUUAGCCAUUACCUUUACCAACACCAAUACACGUUGGAACUUUAACCCACCGGGCGCUCCACACAUGGGUGGAGCGUGGGAGCGCUUGGUGCGCUCAGUAAAAAAUGCCAUUGGUACCAUCAUCGACGCUCCUCGUCGACCUACUGACGAAGUUCUCGAAACGGUCUUACUAGAUGCCGAAGCAAUGAUAAAUUCACGGCCUCUAACUUAUAUUCCACUGGAGACCGCCGACGAAGAAUCAUUGACACCGAAUCACUUUUUGUUGGGUAGUUCUUCCGGUGCAAAGCAACCACGCUCGGAGAUCAAAAGCGAUCGUGUCAGUCUGCGGGGUUACUGGAAUCUGUCUCAACACUUGACAGAUCUUAUAUGGAAAAGAUGGAUCAAAGAGUAUCUGCCAGUAAUCACUCGACGAUGCCGGUGGUUCGAAGAAGUUCGUGAUGUCCAAGAAGGCGAUUUAGUGCUGAUAGUUGGGGCAGAGGCGCGGAAUCACUAUGUGCGAGGACGAAUAGAAAAGGUAUUUCCGGGACGAGACGGGCGCAUACGCCAAGCUCUGGUGCGCACAGCUAACGGAAUCUACAAGAGACCGGUCGUGAAACUCGCGUUGCUUGACGUCGCAUCACAUGGUAAACCUGGUCCAACCUCGUUGGAGCCACCAUCGGCACACCAGCCUUUACGGGUGGGGGGAUGUUGCGACGCACAUCAAGCCCCUCAUCCCACCAGAUCGCCGUAGUUACAACAGAGCAUCUACAUCGUUUAGGUAGUAGUGAGUGACGACAAACACAGGUGUAUGAAAAACGUCAAACGCGAUGAGUCGUAAAUUUUAUGUUCUCGGCCAGAAGUUUAUUAUCAAAGUUUAAAGAAAUUCGACAGUUAAAUAAUUAUUUUCUAACUUGAAUUACAAUCUCAUAGGGAUUUGCCACAGUGAAUUGUACCCUCGGCAGCGUUAUCAUUACCACCUGAUUUGACACUUGCUUCCCCUCAGGUAUCGAUAUUAGCAAAAACCCGUAAGUGAACUAGUUAUUUCUAAUUGGAAGCUUAUUACCCAUUGAUUACUUUCCCUUUAGAUUUGAAUCGUCACACUCCGCAAUUGUUAGCUAUAACUCAGUCAGGUCACGGUAGAACACUAAAACUGUAAGUUAACAAUUUUUCCAUGAAUUCAGUUUAAUGAAAUAUAACCAUUUCAGCUUAAAGCGACAAACCACCCAC
Aedes albopictus (Asian tiger mosquito) is the source of this 6759-nucleotide RNA transcript. RefSeq lists it as uncharacterized. Lineage: Eukaryota; Metazoa; Arthropoda; Insecta; Diptera; Culicidae. The record is from RefSeq and is a predicted model, not a curated record. The transcript is spliced from 4 exons.